CCAGGGCUUUUUUUGCAUUUAGCCCCCUGAAGAAUUUUUAUUUUAAAAGUAGCCCUAUCAAAAUUUAAUUUGCAAAAAUGGCCCUACUCCUGCCACGCAAGCGCCACGUCAGCGCCACGCGGGCGGGGCUGGGGGCGGUAGUUAAGUUAAACACGGUGAAUCAUUCACCGUGUUUAGACACGGUGAAUGAUUCACCGUGUUUAGUACGUAUUUUUUGUAGAGGAAUAGGGAGUUAGGGAUGUUAAUGGGGUAUGGAUAUUCAAAAUAUUAUUCGAACCUAAACCCGAAUAAAUUAUUUUAUAUACAUAAUUUAUUUUUACAUAUUUAUACAAUAUAUAAAAUAUCCAAUAAUUUUUAUUUCUUAGAUCUUCAUCCAAUCCAACGGUAUAAAAUAUCUAAUAAUUUUAAAAAUCUAUACCAUUGGAUUGAUGAAGAUCUAAGAAAUAAAAAUUAUUAGAUAUUUUAUAUAUUGUAUAAAUAAAUAAAAAUAAAUUAUGUAUAUAUAUAAUUUAUUCGGGUUUAGGUUCGAAUAAUAUUUUGGAUAUCCAUAUCCCAUUAACAUCCCUAACUCCCUAUUAUUCUAGGAAAAAAUACGUACUAAACACGGUGAACCAUUCACCGUGUUUGAACACGGUGAAUGGUUCACCGUGUUUAACUUAAUACACUGGCCCAUGCCCAGCCCGCGUGGCGCUGACGAAGCGCCUGCGUGGCAGGUGUAGGGCCAUUUUUGCAAAUUAAAUUUUGAUAGGGCUAUUUUUAAAAUAAAAAUUUACUAGGGGGCUAAAUGCAAAAAAACCCCUUUUCUCCAUUAUGAAGAAUUUGGGUUAAUUGCAUACAGCCCCCUGUAAACAUAUCGAAUAGCAGAUAUAUCUCUAUAAAUUUCAACUUUUAAUAAUUAUUCUUACAAAAGUUCUAAUGUUUUUAAAUACAUUCCUGCUGUUUGAAUCCGUUAGAAAAAUAUAGUUAACCACAAGUAAAAUACUUAAUCUUGAUUAGUGAAUGAGGUAAAUUGAUAUUUUUACACCUCUUAUAUUAUUUGUGAUGGUAGAAAGAAAAAAGAUGACCGUUGGAGACUUAAAGGAGGGCAUUUCUGCUAAUUUUAGCAAUUGGGAUUUUUGAAGGGAUAUUUAUGAUAGCAAAAAUAUCAUUUCACUUAUCUUCUAUACAAACUAAACAGCUCUCUAACAGUAACAAACCAGAGGAGUAAAUAUGAAUAUUACUGAAUUUUUUGCAGGGAUAAAUAUGAGAAGUUGAAUCCUUUAGAAAUAUAUUUGCUAUUUGAUAUAUUUGUAUAGUGCUGUAUUAAAUUAAUCCUAUAAAUUUGUAAUUUUUUUUUAGGGUUCUUGGAAAAGUG
RNAcentral lists this long non-coding RNA (1354 nucleotides) under Ananas comosus (pineapple). RNAcentral's name for it is "long non-coding RNA (ACOM_LNC017219)". Lineage: Eukaryota; Viridiplantae; Streptophyta; Magnoliopsida; Poales; Bromeliaceae. The record is from RNAcentral.